CAAUUACUCCCUCCGUCCUUCCGUCUCAAAAAUUUUGUCUUAAAUUUGUUUCGAUAUAAAUGUAUCUAGUCACUUUUUAGUAUUUUGAUACAUUCAUUUUUAAACAAACCUAAUAUAAAAUUUUAGGACGGAGGGAGUAUAAU
This 143-nucleotide microRNA precursor is filed under the name Hordeum vulgare. Its description in RNAcentral is "microRNA MIR1122". It matches the Rfam family "MIR1120/MIR1122 microRNA precursor family". Lineage: Eukaryota; Viridiplantae; Streptophyta; Magnoliopsida; Poales; Poaceae. The record is from RNAcentral.